Choloepus hoffmanni (Hoffmann's two-fingered sloth) is the source of this 104-nucleotide small nucleolar RNA. Ensembl annotates it as small nucleolar RNA, C/D box 13. Its record names the gene SNORD13. Lineage: Eukaryota; Metazoa; Chordata; Mammalia; Pilosa; Megalonychidae. The record is from Ensembl.
AUCCUUUUGUGGUUCAUGAACAUGAUGAAUGGGUUUUCACACGUUUGUGUGAUAUGUGCCUCCCUUGAUCCUUGUUACGACGUGGGCACGUUACCCUUCUGAUC